GUCGAGCGGAACGAGUUAUCUGAACCUUCGGGGAAUGAUAACGGCGUCGAGCGGCGGACGGGUGAGUAAUGCCUAGGAAAUUGCCCUGAUGUGGGGGAUAACCAUUGGAAACGAUGGCUAAUACCGCAUAAUACCUACGGGUCAAAGAGGGGGACCUUCGGGCCUCUCGCGUCAGGAUAUGCCUAGGUGGGAUUAGCUAGUUGGUGAGGUAAUGGCUCACCAAGGCGACGAUCCCUAGCUGGUCUGAGAGGAUGAUCAGCCACACUGGAACUGAGACACGGUCCAGACUCCUACGGGAGGCAGCAGUGGGGAAUAUUGCACAAUGGGCGCAAGCCUGAUGCAGCCAUGCCGCGUGUGUGAAGAAGGCCUUCGGGUUGUAAAGCACUUUCAGUCGUGAGGAAGGUAGUGUAGUUAAUAGCUGCAUUAUUUGACGUUAGCGACAGAAGAAGCACCGGCUAACUCCGUGCCAGCAGCCGCGGUAAUACGGAGGGUGCGAGCGUUAAUCGGAAUUACUGGGCGUAAAGCGCAUGCAGGUGGUUUGUUAAGUCAGAUGUGAAAGCCCGGGGCUCAACCUCGGAAUAGCAUUUGAAACUGGCAGACUAGAGUACUGUAGAGGGGGGUAGAAUUUCAGGUGUAGCGGUGAAAUGCGUAGAGAUCUGAAGGAAUACCGGUGGCGAAGGCGGCCCCCUGGACAGAUACUGACACUCAGAUGCGAAAGCGUGGGGAGCAAACAGGAUUAGAUACCCUG
RNAcentral lists this ribosomal RNA (748 nucleotides) under uncultured Vibrio sp. RNAcentral's name for it is "bacterial SSU rRNA". It matches the Rfam family "Bacterial small subunit ribosomal RNA", at positions 61 to 789 of the family's 1533-position model. The record is from RNAcentral. Lineage: Bacteria; Pseudomonadati; Pseudomonadota; Gammaproteobacteria; Vibrionales; Vibrionaceae.